This is a long non-coding RNA of Gorilla gorilla gorilla (western lowland gorilla), 8658 nucleotides long. RefSeq lists it as uncharacterized. The transcript has 5 exons. Lineage: Eukaryota; Metazoa; Chordata; Mammalia; Primates; Hominidae. The record is from RefSeq and is a predicted model, not a curated record.
AUUUACACCCCAUAGGAGCCAGGUGGCCCUGAGCGUAGAUUGUACAAAUAGAGGUCCUUAGCAAGACUGGCAUCUAAUGCAGAGGUCUCCCAGAGCCUCCCUCUUGUGUCUUCCUGUUGGUCUUUGUUCCUUAGCCUUGUAAUGUCAAGUAUAUUCAUUUCUGCUCCUUUCUGUGUUGUCUGUUUCAAAAUAGGUUUAUGUUGCAGUCUCCCUGAAUUUGAUUGAUCAUAAAAUUAUCUAUUUCAUAGGCCAUGACUAUGUAUUUGGAAGCUGAAGGGAAAGGCUGAUGGGCACAGCUGGGGCUUCCCUUUCUAUCCUUGUGUGCUUUUCUUAGAUACUUGGACCACAUUCUCAUCCUCUUCUGAAAAUGGGGAGAAGUUGCUGUUGUCAAGAGCUGUGCUGUCCUUUAUGAUAACCACUAGACACACAUGCUGUUGAUCUCAUGAAAUGUGGUCGGUGUGGCAUGUUGAAAUGAUAAUGUUGGGUUAAGUACAAUAUAUUGUUAAAAUGACCUGUUCAUUCUUACUUUUUAAUGAGGCUUCUGAAACAUUUAAAAUUAUACUUGGAACUGACAUAUUUUCAUUGGACAGUGAGGUCUACACUAGAUGCUCAAGACCUCCUCCAUCCCCAGUGCUUAGUAACUAAUCCUGAUCUCCCCCCAGGAGGCUUCUGGCCACACAGGGCUCUGUGCAUAGAGGUCCAUGGAAAAGCUAGAGAGGAGGCAAGUAGAGAGCCUCGGGCCUUAAGGGGCUUUUGGGAGUGCCUAGUACAGCCCUUUAAAUGGGGAUUACCCCCCAGUCCUUGGAGGCAGAAGUCGUGGCUUGAAUCUGCAGGCAACAUUGUAUUUUUCAGCAUUUAAGGUGGGGACAAGGCAGCCAAUGGGUAAACCCCAGAAGAGUCUUUGGAUGAAGGUUUAGCAGUGCCCCAGUGGAGUUUGAAUGGGCACAGCUGUAGAUAACAGGAGGGUCGUCCUCCUUCCCCUGUCCCUAGCAGUGAUUUCAUAGUCUCCCAGAUGUGCAGAAACCACAGGGCAUGGGAAGGCAGCCAUGCAUCCCAGGUUCGUGCCAAACCCACUUUCAGCAGGUUUGUUUCCUUUGGCCCGAGGGCUCCUUGUUGCCCCUCUCCUGGCUGCACCUCCUCCCCUCAGCCUGUGCUGCUCUCCGUGAGCUUGGAGCUUCUGGGAUGCGUCUUGGCUCAGAGCCAGCGUCUUCUUGGAGAGGCCUCCUGCCCUGGCUCCCUGCCAAGCCUCAGGGCCUCAGAGAGAUUUUCCAGGGAGAUGCUGGGCUCAUACUGUUGUCAAAGGGCAGAGGGGCCUCAGUUAGCCUUCUGCCCUUGGAGGGCCCCUGGCUGUGGGUCUGGGCUUGCCUCCAGCCCCCUUUCCCCCUCAGAAACUCCAGUUUCCUCCCCUGGAAACCCUGGACUGGGUUAAGGGCCUUCCAGCUCCAGUAAGCCUUGAGUUUAUAAAAAGAAGGCCCCUCACAUGAGCCUGGGAGGUAAGGAAGGGGCAUCGAGGAGGCCAUAAUGAGUCAUGACGAUGGGGACAGGAACCAUUUAGUGAGCACUGACUGCCAGGUUCUGUGCGAAUGCUUUGUAUAUUGUAUCUCCUUUGAGGGCCAUCUCUUGGGGAGAAAAAAGAAUAGUAAAUUUGACCAGGGAUUUGCCCUUCUUUUCUAAGCCAAAUGCCAUUUGGGUGACUGCAUGGGGUGUGUUACAGGAGCUACAGCCCUUGCAUAGGAGGGACUAUCAGCCCCCAGUGAGUCCUUGUCUCCCAAAGAAUCAGCCUGGGCUUUGGGAAGCAGCAUGAGUUCAUUUGGGUUGCCAAAGGAUGCCUCUGCAGUGUUUCCUGCUUGAGGCUGGCAGUACACCUGGAGAAUCAAGAUGGGAGGGCUCCAUGCUGGGCCCCUGGGAGCCUUGGUGCGGUGCUAGAGGGGUGAGCAGCAUACCACCCGGUCCGGAUUUAUCUCCUAAUUGUGUGCUCCAUAUCCUUGCUGUGCCUCAGUCUGUAAAAUUAGGGGGUUGGCCCAAGCCUACCAGCCUGCCCACAGUGCCAAGGGAUUGUGGCUGCUCAGGAUGAUGCUGGCCUUUUACUUUCUGCAAUGUUAUAUCCCCCUGAUGUAGCACACAUGAUCUUCUGGAGGAGGGAAGGGGCCCCACAUCCUCUAUCCCAUCUCAUCUUGUCCUUAAGCAGAGAAUGUCAAGCCUUCCUCCUAUCUGCCCAGUUCUGCACCAUAGCUCCUGCUGUCUCCUUAGGUUAGGAGAGGUGGCACAUGCCUCUGAAGGCAUGUUACAUCCUUGAUGAGUGCUGGGGGAAAAGGGAGUAAAGAAACAAGUCUCAAGUUUAUAGCCACCCCUUCCCUUUGAAUCUGCAGCUUCUUUUACCCAGUAUUGAGUCCACUGUUCUCUCUUCUACUGUGGGUCACAGACUCCAAGACCAUGGUGGUGUGAGGCAGAGGCAGUGUGGCCCAGUGGGUAUCCAGGUGGAGGGGUUGGUCUGACCUAAUUCAGAACCCACAGGAUACCCCUUCCCCUCUUCCUCUGAGCCAGUUUUCCCAUCUGCAAAAUUGAGAAUAGUAAUACUUACCUUGUGACACUCAAGAUGCAUCCCCCAUCUUGCUGGUUUGUCACGAGUAAAGGCCAGGUAAGGUGGCCAGCAAGGGACCAGGGUCAGUCAGCUCUCUGUUAGUCACUCUACGAUAAGCUGUGCUGUUUACAGACCAGCCAUAAGCUCUGCAGUGCAGGGAGAACCCCUGACCUCUAGGAGCAGAGAAACUAGCAUUACUAGCCUAAGGCGGCACAAAAAAUCCAAGGGGCAGGUUGUUUUGGUGUUUUGUCUCUGUCCUUGGGAGUUAAGAGAAGAGGAAUUAGAUUGAGGCGGAGAAGCCUCACUGUGCCCAAACAGGUCUUCUAGGCUGUUGAGAGGGCAAGACAGGACAUCCCUACCAAUGGGGAGAACUCUCUGACCAGGACCUUAGAGGUGGAGAUGAAGCGGGAGGAGGAGUCCUGCUGGACUGGGCCUGAGAUUUGGGUAUAGGUCAGGUCAGAUGGUGGAGGAUAAGAAUGACAGAGGUAGGGAGCAGGCUAAGAGAAUUGGUAUGGUCACCAUGUGCAAGAUGGGUGGGCACUGGAGGCUGUCAGGCCUUGUGCUGCCCAGGCCAACCUGAGCUGAGCAGCCACACCCACCCUGUGCCACUCACCUCUUAUGGUUCCUGGCCUGGACGUCAGCAGCCCCAGGGCUGUGCUGUGGAGCCAUUUCCCACUUUGCAAGGGAACUGCAGGGCUCUGAAAUUGGAAGUCUUCCCAUGCCACACUGUAUUUUUUCUUACCACACUCAUUUAUUCAUUCAAUGUCUAUUGACCACACAUUAUGUGUCAGCCUCUGGGCAAGACCCUGGGGAUACAGAGAAGGAAACCACAUUCCCUGGCCCAGCACUUUCGCUUGUGAUGUGGAAAGGCAUAUAUCCAUCUAGAGCUGGAAGGCCGGGCUAGCGGGGGUGGUGUGCUAGAUUAGCAGGCACUCCGGGUCUGACAGUUAUCAUCAGUUUGUGGCUUAUUGGCUUUCCUGCCCCUCUCCAUGUCCCAAGAGCCUGGGAGAACAGGGUCAGAGGCCAUGUCAUGCUUUGCCCGUGAUGACCUUAAGCUGUCGUUUAGCCUCAGCUAGAACUGUAAUUCUCUAGAUUCCAUUGUUUCUGUAUAGAAUUGUGACAUUUCAGUUUCCCUUUCUUCAUUUAAAAAAACACCUUUUUUUUUUUCUUUGAGACAAGGUCUUGCUCUGUCGGCCAGGCUGGAGUACAGUGGCCUGAUCAUAGCUCACUAUAACCUCGAACUUCUGGCUCAAGCAAUUCCCCCGCCUCAGCCUCCAGAGUAGCUGGGACUACAGGCAUGUGCCACCACACCCAGACUUUUAUAUUUAUUUUAUAAAAAUUAAAAAAUGUGUUUUAUUUUGUAGAGACAGGGUCUUUGUUGCCCAGGCUGGCCUCAAACUCCUGGCAUCAAGCGAUCCUCCCACCUGGGCCUCCCAAAGUGUUGAGAUUACAACAUGAGCCACCACACCCAGACUAAAAGGCAGUUUGAUUUUAUAAAUCAAAAUAGCAGUAAUCUAUGGAGAUUUACUUGUGAGAUUGGUAGGAAACAUCUUAAAUGUAAUCAAACAAUAACUUACAUCUUGAUGAAUUCACAUGUAGGUUUCUCUUCCUCAGAAGAAAUCGGAUGCUGUUCAGAGCACCAAGGCUAGAAUUUUACCCUGGUUCUCAUGCUACCUUGCACCCAGGUUGGAUCCUGAGUACAGUUUUUGCUGCAUAUAAGUUAGCAAUGGGGGAUACCCAGCUGCCUCUCUUCAUACAGCUGAGGUUUUGGGGAGUCAUUCUUAUAGCCCCUGGGUUGGGCCUAGUCCUGCAAAUGAAUUCACCAGCCCUAAAGCCCAAAUUGCAGCCUCUGUCAUUCACCUUCCAGGAGUGGAAAGAGCAGUAAGUUUCAUCUUAUUAUUAUUGCUAUUUUGGUGGUUUUGUUGAGGUUGGUGUGUGUAUGUUAGUAAGAUAAAGCUCUCAGAAAUUACAUAGCAUUUGUCAAGGAUAUAAGAGGGACUGUGCCACAUCUGGCUGUAUAGAAGGUGGUUCCAUAUCUUUAAAUAGAGCCCCAGGUCCUUAGCCACCAGAAAGGUUUUCAGGGGAAGUGUGCACCCUCAGCAGCUGCUGCUGGUGGGCAGGAUGGGCACACAUGGAACAGGCUUUCCUCUGUGGCCAGGUGAGAAGCAGGUGGUGAGACACAGAGCAGUGCUGGGCUCUGCUUCUGAAGCCUCCAACCUUUCCUUCCCUAGGAAGCCCCAGAGAGAUUGGUGAGGGUGAUUUCCCAGGAAGACGCAGUGUGCUCUGACUUCUGUGACAGUGAGCAACGGGACCAAUGGAUGUCCAGAUGCUGGCAAUGAGACAUGCUCUGGAGUCAGAAGACAGCGAAAAGAGAAGCAGAAGCCCCGGUGGCAAGAGUCUGAAGCAAGAAGGAUGACUGUAGCCUGUGGAUUGUACUGCAGUAGGAAACUGUCCUAGCAAGGCUCCACCUUGCCCCAGCUUCAAGCUGGAAAGGAGGAGAACAUGAAACAUUGCUUGAAGACAAUGGCCGAGACAGCAGGUCCCACCCUGCACAGCCACCAGCAUCUCUCCCCUCAGCCCUGUCUCCUCUUCUGCAGUUGGGAUCUGCACAUUUAAGCCUGAAAUUGUCCUGUGAAGUGAAGUAUGAUCGGACAGCCUCUUUUCAGCUUUUAUGAAAAUGGAGACAGAGGAAUUGUGGCUCUUGCCAAGGUCACAGGAUUGGAAUACAGAGCCAAGCCACCCCAGGACAUGCAAGAGCCUCAGAAGGGAAAAAGCCCAGCAGGAAGGGAGAACAAGUAGCCUCUGUCCUGAGGUUGUAACAGCCAGGGGCCAGGAUGGAGGAGGAGGACCCCGUAAUCUGCCCAUCUGGGACUUGGCAGGGGACCUGGGAAAAUGUACCCCAACCCAUCCCUCAAGGGCCUUUGCCUUUGGCCCAUUGGCCUAGCAUCUCUUUCUUCACCGUGUCUGUUCUUGUCACACCUAGUCAGGUCUGUUUGGGUCUGAGGUGCAUGGAACGUUCUGGGUAGGCCUCCAGCAAACGGAAGCUCUUCACCGUGUUUCCAGCCUGGGACCAAGGGCAGCACACUGGCAAAGUUGCCAAAGCAAGGGACUCCAGCCUUUUAGGAGUUAAUGACUCCCUCUCCCCAGCUGUCCUCCCCUUGGUGCUCCUCUUCCUCCCUCCUCCUGCUCACAGCAGGCAGGGCCUAGACCCAGGAGCCAUGCUGCUGUGCUGUUGCCAGGGGAGCACGGAGGCAGAUCUGAGCUAUGCAGGGAAAAGGCCCGGCCUGUCAAAGUGUCUGAGAUGAACCGCCGCCGUCCCUGUGCAGCUGGGCUCAGACAUGUCUCAGCUCUUGUUCUGUGCCUGAGAAUGGCGAAACCCAGUGAGGUUCAAGGGCAAACUCGCUAUUCAUUAGUCAGGGGUUCUUGACGUCCCGUCUCUCCCAGGGAUGAGUUCCCCCCUCCUCUUUCUCCCCCUCCUAUGACACAUUCCUGGGUGCCUUUGGUGAGGACUGCAUACCCUCCUCCUGCGUAGCCCCUCUCCAAAGGCCCCUGAAUAAACUCCCCCCAAGGAGACCAGGCAGGGCAGAGACAAUGGCUGCAGGAAAUCAUUCAGGCAGGACAUGCUGGCCUGCCCUCCACCCAGUCCCCCUGUGGGCCCCACUCCCUUCUGAUUCAGGGCACCCUUGGGCCCCCAGCCUAUACAGGCCUGGACAGGAAGAAACCACUGGGAACCACCCUAAGGACAACAUGCUAGUCCAGUGCCAUUCUUCGCUGGCUCUGUGGGUGCCUUUGUGGCCUGUACCGACUGGCUGGCUAAUUUUGUGGUUUCUGUACCAUCACAUGCCUAUUUUAAGACACUGUCCAGCACUGUCGGUUAGGGAGUGUAAAUUGUACAGUAUUUUCUGAAAUGUGGCAGUAUCAAAAUGUAAAAGGCACACAUACUUGGUCACAAACAAAUGGCACUAUUUACUCUGUGGGCAUAUUUGUAAAAGUUGCCAAAGAAUUAUAUACAAGGAUGUUCAUCAGAGCAUUUCUUUUGAAGAGUAAAGAAAUGGACAUGAACCUGUGGUCCGUUCAUAUGGUGGAAUACCUAUGCAGCUGUAAAAAUCAGUGUGGUAGAUCUCUGUAUAUGAGUUGAUGUGGAAGGUUGGCCAGUUCACAUGAUAAGGUGAAUAGAAUAAGUUACAGAACAGGCUGUGGAGUAUGAUCUUAUUUGUAGAUGUUUAAAACUGAGUCAUAAGUAUGCUUAUAUACAGAUCGUUUCUGGAAGUAUGUACUGGAAGGCUACCUCUGGGGAGUGGGGAUGGGGGAAUGCACUCUUCUAUACUGUUAUAUUUUCUUUUAGUGCUCCUAAGGUACUUUUAUUGAAAGAUGUAAAGGGGUUCAAUGUAAUAGGCUGAACUUCUGUCAACUAAGUUGGCGUGGGUGCUUUAAGAGGGUGGUAGUGAUGUUGCUGGAGAAAGUAUCCCACAAUCACUGGUGGCUUCAGCCACGGGCCAUUUUGGGGCCUAAUAAUCACAUAUCAUCAUGGUUGCUAGUGUUAACCGAAAACCUACUAAGUGCCAGGCUUACUGUCUCUGGGUCUUGCUUACGUGGAUGUCAUUUUUCCAGUUUCACCAAAUCGAAAGAGGUUAAUUGGUUUGUUGGAGCUCCUUUGCAGGUGAAGGGCAGAGCCAGGAGCUUGGCUAGGGACAGGGGAGGUGGGUGGGGGAUGCUGGAUAGGUCUUGGCUCCCAGUUUCCUUCUGGGCAGACAUUGCCCCUCUGCCCUGAGGACCUGCUUGUUUGGGGGAAGAGGCCUUUAGAGGCACCAGGGUCAUGCCAGGUGUUGGAUAUGGUGAACUGGGAAGUGCUCCCAUCUGGCCACAGCCCAGAAGUAUCACCAUGCUGGGGGAUGGGGAACAGGGCUGUGAAUGGGCCUAUUUGCAUAAGCAGCAUGUGUCUGGAGAGAAAGACAUCACAGAGCAGAAGAGUGCGGGUGCCCAGGAGUGCAAUUGCCACCCCUACUUCAUCCCUGAAAGAGUAAAUGGCCUGGAAAGUGUCUCUGAGAGGUAAUGCUGCACACCACCCUCCCUGGGGGCAGGGUCAGGCUACACCUGCCUUAGGUCAGGGGCUGCAGCAGCCUGCAGAGCUCUCCGUAGGGCCUCAGUAGCCUGGGAGGGAGCAGGGGCAGGGGGCAGGGAAAGAGGCGUAAUGGGGCUGUCCAGAGGGGCCUGGGAAACCUGGUCCCUGAGGCCUGGGCACAGCUACAAUCACUUCAAAUUGGCUGUGGGGCCAGUGGACUGGGAAGGAAAAAAGCAAUAAGAGUGACCAAGUGCAGAAGGCUGUCAGGUCCCAGGUCACAUGCCUUAGUGCAGUGACUCCUCAUCAUUUUAUGGGGUGUGGGUGUCAUUGGUACACCCAUUUUACAGAUGAGGACACCGAGGCCCAGAAAAGUUAAGUUACGUGUCCUAAGUCACACAGCUUGUAAGUGCCAGAACUGAGAUCAAAACCAAGUCUCUUUGACUUUAAAGUCUGUACUCUGACCCCAAAGAGAUCCUGUUUGGUUUGGCCACUUAUAGGAGGUCCCUAAAGCUGCAGACUCCCCUUGCCAGCACCCACAUAUAGAGACAUUAACCCUUCCCCUGCAGGGUCACCUCAAAUAGUCUUUUAGCUGGGCUUCUCCUGCAAUUCCACCUAAUGCCAUCCCCUGGGUUUUGCCCAAACCUGAACUGGGCAGUGGGGUGAGAGGGGUUUACAGAGCCUCAUACAGAUAGGAGCCCAUGGCUGCUGGUCAUCUGCAUUCCUGCAGGAUUGGCUGUUCCUUGGGGUCCUUGGCAGGAAAAUGAGGAUUGCUCCGAGGCCUGCUCCAGUGCUUCCCAGAGGCUGGCCUGGUGUGGGGCUCUGGGAAGGCUGAGGCUGGAGAAGCAGAAGUAGGAGGGCAGAGAUGGCACUCAGGUAGCUUGAAUCACCAAGACCCUUCCAAGCCCCACAGGUUCUGAGGGAGUACUAGGGCCAGCUCUGGGAGAGGUCUCUUUCUAUGCUGUGAACCCCCUGCCUUUCUUGCAGCCUACAAUGAAUAAAUUUUCUUUGCAAAGGC